GUGAAUCAUCGAGUCUUUGAACGCACCUUGCACUCUUUGGUAUUCCGAAGAGUAUGUCUGUUUGAGUGUCAUGAAACUCUCAACCCCCUCAUUUUGUAAUGAAAUGAGUCGUGGGCUUGGAUUAUGGCUGUAUGUCGGCUUCAUUGCCGGCUCAGCUGAAAUACUCGAGUAACCCAGUUUGAAAAACUGACGGCUUGACUCGGCGUAAUAAUUAUUAUCGCUGAGGACGUCUAACCUUCGAAUAGUUAGUGGUGCUUCUAAUGCAAAUCAUCUUAAGAUUUAGACCUCAAAUCAGUCAGGAUUACCCGCUGAACUUAA
RNAcentral lists this ribosomal RNA (318 nucleotides) under uncultured fungus. RNAcentral's name for it is "eukaryotic LSU rRNA". The stretch from base 1 to 71 matches the Rfam family "5.8S ribosomal RNA", at positions 84 to 154 of the family's 154-position model. The record is from RNAcentral. Lineage: Eukaryota; Fungi.